RNAcentral lists this ribosomal RNA (516 nucleotides) under uncultured bacterium. RNAcentral describes it as "bacterial SSU rRNA". It matches the Rfam family "Bacterial small subunit ribosomal RNA", at positions 8 to 518 of the family's 1533-position model. The record is from RNAcentral.
AGAGUUUGAUUAUGGCUCAGGGUGAACGCUAGCGGCAGGCCUAAUACAUGCAAGUCGAACGGUAAACGGUCCUUCGGGGCCGUGAGAGUGGCGGACGGGUGCGUAACGCGUAUGCAACCAACCCCCGACGGGCGGAUAGCCGGUGGAAACGCCGGGUAAUGCGCCAUGCGCACUUUGGGGGGCAUCCCCUUGGGUGCAAAGCGGCGACGCGGUCGGGGACGGGCAUGCGUCCCAUUAGCUGGUUGGCGGGGCAACGGCCCACCAAGGCUACGAUGGGUAGGGGAUCUGAGAGGACGGUCCCCCACACUGGUACUGAGACACGGACCAGACUCCUGCGGGAGGCAGCAGUAAGGGAUAUUGGGCAAUGGGGGGAACCCUGACCCAGCCAUGCCGCCGUGAGGUAGGAAGGCCCUACGGGUCGUAAGCCUCUUUUGUCCAGGGACAAGGACGCGCACGCGAUGCACGUUUGAGGGUACUGGAAGAAUAAGCGUCGGCUAACUCCGUGCCAGCCGCCGC